GAUGAACGCUGGCGGCGUGCUUAACACAUGCAAGUCGAACGAAGCACCUUAUUUGAUUUUCUUCGGAACUGAAGAUUUGGUGACUGAGUGGCGGACGGGUGAGUAACGCGUGGGUAACCUGCCCUGUACAGGGGGAUAACAGUUAGAAAUGACUGCUAAUACCGCAUAAGACCACAGCACCGCAUGGUGCAGGGGUAAAAACUCCGGUGGUACAGGAUGGACCCGCGUCUGAUUAGCUGGUUGGUGAGGUAACGGCUCACCAAGGCGACGAUCAGUAGCCGGCUUGAGAGAGUGAACGGCCACAUUGGGACUGAGACACGGCCCAAACUCCUACGGGAGGCAGCAGUGGGGAAUAUUGCACAAUGGGGGGAACCCUGAUGCAGCGACGCCGCGUGAGUGAAGAAGUAUUUCGGUAUGUAAAGCUCUAUCAGCAGGGAAGAAAAUGACGGUACCUGACUAAGAAGC
RNAcentral lists this ribosomal RNA (465 nucleotides) under uncultured bacterium. Its description in RNAcentral is "bacterial SSU rRNA". It matches the Rfam family "Bacterial small subunit ribosomal RNA", at positions 28 to 491 of the family's 1533-position model. The record is from RNAcentral.